Long non-coding RNA from Zingiber officinale, 486 nucleotides. RefSeq lists it as uncharacterized. The transcript is spliced from 3 exons. The record is from RefSeq and is a predicted model, not a curated record. NCBI's taxonomy places the organism in Eukaryota, Viridiplantae, Streptophyta, Magnoliopsida, Zingiberales, Zingiberaceae.
UCUCUCUGUCUCUCUUGCGGACGACCCGAAACUGACGGAGGGCGAUUCUUCCCUGACGAUCUCGUUCUCGCAGCGUCACCUGAGGAACGUCGCUGGAUCAUGAGGCUACUGGCGUUGUCCAGGCCAUCUCUGGUGGAGCGAUCUCCUCCUUGGCCGUUUCUUGCACGCAAUCGACGGGGGUUCGACAUCUAGGGCACCGCGAUGAUCAGUCUAGGUACGCUUCAUUAGGAAAUCUUGUGGAUUCUGAGAUUCUGUCUUUUUGGUUUCCGAUGUAAUGUCUUCAACGAUCGAGACUAAUGGGAGGCAUCAGAUCAACUUGUUAGUGGAUUCUUCUUGAGCAGAUCACGGUGUUCUUCAUUUCUUGCGACCGUUAAGGUCUCGGGUGAAGAAGUGGGGGUCAAUUGAGUUGUCGGGCAGAGUCUUGCUGGGUUACGAGUUUUUGAUUUGCUGCCAUACCUCAAGGAUCUUGAUCGGGGACAAGCCGCA